This 77-nucleotide transfer RNA is filed under the name Camponotus floridanus (Florida carpenter ant). It matches the Rfam family "tRNA". From Rfam's summary of the family: Transfer RNA (tRNA) molecules are approximately 80 nucleotides in length. Their secondary structure includes four short double-helical elements and three loops (D, anti-codon, and T loops). Further hydrogen bonds mediate the characteristic L-shaped molecular structure. tRNAs have two regions of fundamental functional importance: the anti-codon, which is responsible for specific mRNA codon recognition, and the 3' end, to which the tRNAs corresponding amino acid is attached (by aminoacyl-tRNA synthetases). tRNAs cope with the degeneracy of the genetic code in two manners: having more than one tRNA (with a specific anti-codon) for a particular amino acid; and 'wobble' base-pairing, i.e. permitting non-standard base-pairing at the 3rd anti-codon position. The record is from Rfam by way of RNAcentral. Lineage: Eukaryota; Metazoa; Arthropoda; Insecta; Hymenoptera; Formicidae.
GUCUGGAUAGCUCAGUGGUCUAGAGCAGUUGCCUGGAAAGCGAAAGACUCGGAUAUUCGGGAUUCCCGAUCCAGCUA